This 27-nucleotide non-coding RNA is filed under the name Mus musculus (house mouse). The record is from RNAcentral. Lineage: Eukaryota; Metazoa; Chordata; Mammalia; Rodentia; Muridae.
UGAGGACAGCUAGAAGAUUAUCUUCAG